This 565-nucleotide ribosomal RNA is filed under the name uncultured bacterium. RNAcentral describes it as "bacterial SSU rRNA". It matches the Rfam family "Bacterial small subunit ribosomal RNA", at positions 385 to 966 of the family's 1533-position model. The record is from RNAcentral.
GACGGACGACGCCGCGUGGAGGAAGAAGUUUUCGGAGCGUAAACUCCUGUCAUCAGGGACGAAAGAAUGACGGUACCCGAGGAGGAAGCAUCGGCUAACUACGUGCCAGCAGCCGCGGUAAUACGUAGGAUGCAAGCGUUGUUCGGAAUUACUGGGCGUAAAGCGUACGUAGGCGGUGACAUAAGUUUAAUAUUAAAGACCGAAGCUCAACUUCGGGAAUGUAUUGAAUACUGUGUUGCUAGAGGUUGAUAGAGGGAAUCGGAAUUCUCAGUGUAGCGGUGAAAUGCGUAGAUAUUGGGAAGAACACCGGUGGCGAAAGCGGAUUCCUGGGUCAAUACUGACGCUGAGGUACGAAAGUGUGGGGAGCAAACAGGAUUAGAUACCCUGGUAGUCCACACGGUAAACGAUGGAUACUAGCUGUAAUGGGAUUCGACCCCUAUUGUGGCGAAGCAAACGCGAUAAGUAUCCCGNCUGNGGAGUAUGGCCGCAAGGUUGAAACUCAAAGGAAUUGACGGGGGCCCGCACAAGCGGUGGAGGAUGUGGUUUAAUUCGACGCAACGCGAAA